CUGGGCGUAAGAGCAUGUAGGCGGGUAUUUAAGUCAGGAGUGAAAACUAUGGGCUCAACCCAUAGCCUGCUCUUGAAACUGGAUACCUUGAGGGUAUGAGAGGAAAGCGGAAUUCCCAGUGUAGCGGUGAAAUGCGUAGAUAUUGGGAGGAACACCAGUGGCGAAGGCGGCUUUCUGGCAUACAACUGACGCUGAGAUGCGAAAGCGUGGGGAGCGAACGGGAUUAGAUACCCCGGUAGUCCACGCCGUAAACGAUGGGUACUAGGUGUAGGAGGUAUCGACCCCUUCUGUGCCGUAGUUAACACAAUAAGUACCCCGCCUGGGGAGUACGGCCGCAAGGUUGAAACUCAAAGGAAUUGACGGGGGCCCGCACAAGCGGUGGAGCAUGUGGUUUAAUUCGACGCAACGCGAAGAACCUUACCAGGGCUUGACAUCCUCUGACGUCCUAAGAGAUUAGGAGUUUAGGAGCUUGCUCUUAACAGAGAGACAGGUGGUGCAUGGUUGUCGUCAGCUCGUGUCGUGAGAUGUUGGGUUAAGUCCCGCAACGAGCGCAACCCUUAUCUUUAGUUGCCAGCAAUUCGGUUGGGCACUCUAGAGAGACUGCCGGUGACAAACCGGAGGAAGGUGGG
Molecule: ribosomal RNA, 629 nt
Filed under: uncultured bacterium
Lineage: Bacteria
Description: bacterial SSU rRNA
Rfam family: Bacterial small subunit ribosomal RNA
Source: RNAcentral